UGUGAUAUGAUGUGCAGGUCUCACGUGGCGUAGGUUAUCCGGCGUUGAGACAGACCCCAUACGUGGCGUUGGUUGUACCGGCGUAUGGGGAGAUAUAAUGAUAGUAUGGCAUGGUCGCACGUGGCGUAGGUUAUCCGGCGUGUCGACAGACCCCAUACGUGGCGUUGGUUGUACCGGCGUAUGGGGAGCUUUGUGAUAUAAUAUUGAGGUCCCGCGUGGCGUAGGUUAUCCGGCGUUGGGACAGGCCCCAUACGUGGCGUUGGUUGUACCGGCGUAUGGGGAGAUAUAAUGAUAGUAUGGCAUGGUCGCACGUGGCGUAGGUUAUCCGGCGUGUCGACAGACCCCAUACGUGGCGUUGGUUGUACCGGCGUAUGGGGAGCUUUGUGAUAUAAUAUUGAGGUCCCGCGUGGCGUAGGUUAUCCGGCGUUGGGACAGGCCCCAUACGUGGCGUUGGUUGUACCGGCGUAUGGGGAGAUAUUAUGAUAGUAUGGCAUGGUCGCACGUGGCGUAGGUUAUCCGGCGUGUUGACAGGCCCCAUACGUGGCGUCGGUUGUACCGGCGUAUGGGGAGAUUAUAUGAAAUACAAAGAAAUGAAAUAAGGUAUCGCCCAAGUGUGGAAUUGGGUUUUAUGGAAGAACUACGUGUGGCUUGAUCCCUCAAGGAGGGUACGUAGGCAGCCUGAGG
RNAcentral lists this long non-coding RNA (684 nucleotides) under Prunus persica (peach). RNAcentral describes it as "long non-coding RNA (PPER_LNC005857)". Lineage: Eukaryota; Viridiplantae; Streptophyta; Magnoliopsida; Rosales; Rosaceae. The record is from RNAcentral.